RNAcentral lists this ribosomal RNA (442 nucleotides) under Escherichia coli. RNAcentral describes it as "bacterial SSU rRNA". It matches the Rfam family "Bacterial small subunit ribosomal RNA", at positions 338 to 795 of the family's 1533-position model. Lineage: Bacteria; Pseudomonadati; Pseudomonadota; Gammaproteobacteria; Enterobacterales; Enterobacteriaceae. The record is from RNAcentral.
CCUACGGGAGGCAGCAGUGGGGAAUAUUGCACAAUGGGCGAAAGCCUGAUGCAGCGACGCCGCGUGAGGGAUGAAGGCCUUCGGGUUGUAAACCUCUAUCAGCAGGGAAGAGAAAGUGACGGUACCUGAAGAAGAAGCCCCGGCUAACUACGUGCCAGCAGCCGCGGUAAUACGUAGGGGGCAAGCGUUAUCCGGAUUUACUGGGUGUAAAGGGAGCGUAGACGGCAAUGCAAGUCUGAAGUGAAAGCCCGGGGCUCAACCCCGGGACUGCUUUGGAAACUGUUGAUCUAGAGUAUCGGAGAGGAAAGUGGAAUUCCUAGUGUAGCGGUGAAAUGCGUAGAUAUUAGGAAGAACACCAGUGGCGAAGGCGACUUUCUGGACGAAAACUGACGCUGAGGCGCGAAAGCGUGGGGAGCAAACAGGAUUAGAUACCCUAGUAGUC